RNAcentral lists this ribosomal RNA (253 nucleotides) under uncultured bacterium. RNAcentral describes it as "partial 16S ribosomal RNA". It matches the Rfam family "Bacterial small subunit ribosomal RNA", at positions 524 to 776 of the family's 1533-position model. The record is from RNAcentral.
UACGGGGGGGGUAAGCGUUGUUCGGAAUUACUGGGCGUAAAGGGCUCGUAGGCGGCCAACUAAGUCAUACGUGAAAUCCCUCAGCUUAACUGGGGAACUGCGUGUGAUACUGGAUGGCUUGGAUUUGGGAGAGGGAUGCGGAAUUCCAGGUGUAGCGGUGAAAUGCGUAGAUAUCAGGAGGAACACCGAUGGCGAAGGCAGGUCACUGGGCCGCAACUGACGCUGAGGAGCGAAAGCAUGGGGAGCGAACAGG